AAAAAAAAAAGCGGUCAAGAACUUCUCUCCCAGACACAAACUAUUUCUUCCCCAGGGCAGUAUUUCCCAAUUAUCCUUUCCUGUCAUCAUCACCUUCUUCUUGUCUGGGCUCAUCAACAUUUCAGCCAAGUUAUCAAGCUGCGAAGUCACUGGGAAAAUCAGGACCUCACACCAAGAUGAUCAUCUUUGAACCACAGAAAA
Molecule: non-coding RNA, 201 nt
Organism: Myotis lucifugus (little brown bat)
Lineage: Eukaryota; Metazoa; Chordata; Mammalia; Chiroptera; Vespertilionidae
Source: Rfam